GAUGAACGCUGGCGGCGUGCCUAAUACAUGCAAGUCGAGCGAACGGACGAGAAGCUUGCUUCUCUGAUGUUAGCGGCGGACGGGUGAGUAACACGUGGAUAACCUACCUAUAAGACUGGGAUAACUUCGGGAAACCGUAGCUAAUACCGGAUAGUAUUUUGAACCGCAUGGUUCAAAAGUGAAAGACGGUCUUGCUGUCACUUAUAGAUGGAUCCGCGCUGCAUUAGCUAGUUGGUAAGGUAACGGCUUACCAAGGCAACGAUGGAUAGCCGACCUGAGAGAGUGAUCGGCCAAACUGGAACUGAGACACGGUCCAGACUCCUACGGGAGGCAGCAGUAGGGAAUCUUCCGCAAUGGGCGAAAGCCUGACGGAGCAACGCAGCGUGAGUGAUGAAGGUCUUCGGAUCGUAAAACUCUGUUAUUAGGGAAGAACAUAUGUGUAAGUAACUGUGCACAUCUUGACGGUACCUAAUCAGAAAGCCACGGCUAAAUACGUG
This 497-nucleotide ribosomal RNA is filed under the name uncultured bacterium. RNAcentral's name for it is "partial 16S ribosomal RNA". It matches the Rfam family "Bacterial small subunit ribosomal RNA", at positions 28 to 507 of the family's 1533-position model. The record is from RNAcentral.